This 484-nucleotide ribosomal RNA is filed under the name uncultured bacterium. RNAcentral's name for it is "partial 16S ribosomal RNA". It matches the Rfam family "Bacterial small subunit ribosomal RNA", at positions 30 to 507 of the family's 1533-position model. The record is from RNAcentral.
AUUGAACGCUGGCGGCAGGCCUAACACAUGCAAGUCGAGCGGAUGAAGGGAGCUUGCUCCUGGAUUCAGCGGCGGACGGGUGAGUAAUGCCUAGGAAUCUGCCUGGUAGUGGGGGAUAACGUCCGGAAACGGGCGCUAAUACCGCAUACGUCCUGAGGGAGAAAGUGGGGGAUCUUCGGACCUCACGCUAUCAGAUGAGCCUAGGUCGGAUUAGUUAGUUGGUGGGGUAAAGGCCUAUCAAGGCGACGAUCCGUAACUGGUCUGAGAGGAUGAUCAGUCACACUGGAACUGAGACACGGUCCAGGCUCCUACGGGAGGCAGCAGUGGGGAAUAUUGGACAAUGGGCGAAAGCCUGAUCCAGCCAUGCCGCGUGUGUGAAGAAGGUCUUCGGAUUGUAAAGCACUUUAAGUUGGGAGGAAGGGCAGUAAGUUAAUACCUUGCUGUUUUGACGUUACCAACAGAAUAAGCACCGGCUAACUUCGUG